Long non-coding RNA from Toxotes jaculatrix (banded archerfish), 3288 nucleotides. RefSeq lists it as uncharacterized. The transcript has 12 exons. Lineage: Eukaryota; Metazoa; Chordata; Actinopteri; Toxotidae. The record is from RefSeq and is a predicted model, not a curated record.
UCACCUGGUCUUUGCUCCAGAGCAAAUUUAGACGUCCGCUGUUUAUGGAUGAGCGGAGAAAGUGCAAGCCAUGGUCUGCAAUACGGAAGUUCAGGUCACCAAACCAGAACACCACCCUGUGAGAGAGGGACGGAGGCUCAUUUUACCUGCUGUACAAGAACCCUCAGUUGUUUCCAUGAAGAUGUGGCUCCAGGAGUCCUCCACUAACAGGUCUGAGAUGAACCUCACAGGGGUGGCAUUCACCUCCUGCAGGCUGACACACACCAACACCAGUGAAAAACAAAUAGCGGCGCAGUGACGCCUGUAACCCUGCUGCUUUGGCCCAGUGUGACAAAUUAAAUUCCACUUUCCACAUUUUUUUUUGUUGCUCACCCAAUCACAUAGAGAUCUGAGGGGGGCUGGACGUCUAGUUGCAGCAAAGAAGUGACGUCUUCAGGAGGCUCUGCUGUGGCCACAUUCCAGGUCACCAUGUGCAGCCUGUCAAUGGGUGUUUUGGGUUAAUGACAGUAACUGACCAAAGUGUUGGAGACAUAGAAAAUCUUGACAAAUAUCAGAUUCAUUGCCACAUUUCCCCUAAAGCUUAAUCACUAACUCAGAGUAAACUCAGAGUUAGAAUAAACUCUUGAUUUUCUCAGACAAGUCAAACACUUCCUGUGUGUGUAUGAUGUCUCUCUAAUCAUGUGUAUGCAUGAGUGACCAUAUGCAUGUGUAAACCUGAAUGCAUCUGUGGGAAUGUAGCGUCCGCAGAGCUGAAAUGCUUCAUCCAGUGUGCGGGACAUUUCUUCACCAGCUUCGUCAUCAGAGCUCAAGUCCUCUAUGCAGGUCAGCAGCUGGGACAAACGCUGGCGAAGGAGCAUCUUGGACCUCGAGCCCUGAGAUGCUGAGCUGCUCAUGCUGUCUGAGCGCACACGUGGACUGUCUGUCAAGGGGUCCAUCUUUGGAUCGUAGACUGACAAAAAGGUCUUCGUGGUAUUAGCUUUGUUACCUAUCUGUCCUACUGGUCAGGGAGGUUGUUUAAGAUUACACUAAUAAAAAAAAAUAAAGAGGCUGUAUUGCAAGGGCAAGAAAGUAAAAUCCAGUGGAUAAAAUGCUUUUAGCUUGAUUCCUCCUCAGACUUCUCUGGUUGGUUUGGUUGCAGCCAUUUGAUGAGAGAGGCCUCCACUCUGCUCAGGCCACUGGAAGUAACAUGAAUCGUUUCCUUGUUAGCCAGAUCUCUCUGCAUGUGCUUCAGGCAGCUUCUGUUUUAGGUUCUCCAAACUGUCCAGGAUGGAAAAACUCAAAAAGCCCAGGGUGAAGUGCCUCUGUGUUGGUGUGGUCCUUUCUGUGGCUGAGUCCUGUGUGGUCAUGCAGCGAUGGAGCAACGAUUAACAAAGCAGUCCGGUCGACUCAGGAAUGUGGGCGAGAAUGAGUCCGAUUUGGACUAUAAUCACUGGCAUGUGAACGUGUGUGUGUGUUUGUCUUUGAGUGUGUUGCAGUCAGAGGGAGAAGAAGAGGAGGACCAGAGGCUGAUCCUCUCAUCUUUGACAAACGAGAAAAAGAAGAUGGGAGAAAAAAGAAGCUGCAGACCCCGUGGGCACAGAUGACGAAGAUCUCCAAAGGGGAGUCGAGAGACUGGAUCUGCUUUCCUGUGCUCCUUGCGCGUCUCCUCCUCCAUGCGACGAAUGUCCUCCAUGUUCAAUUCAAUCCAUUUAUCGAUCCAGCAGAACAGCUGACGGUGGAAAUUAGUGAACAAACGCUUCUCUUGCUGAGGACAACAGGAAAGGGAAGUUAAAGUCAUACUGUGGUUUGGAGAAAUUGAAUUUUUAAGUGCAAAUGAUAAAACUAAGCUGUUUGAUUAUCAGAGAUGUUUAAAUCCAGCCUGCUUUACCCUGUUUAUCCACUAGAUGCUGGUACAGCACACACUGUACAAACUGUAUGUACAGCAUGAUUGCGAGUGGUACUUUUCCACUGUCAACUCACAAUGCCAGGAUGUGAGACACUGAGUCUACUGUAUGCAUGCACAGGAUAUACAGCGCUAUGGCACAGCAGUCACACACACACACACACACACACACACACACACACGCACACGCACACGCACAGCCGAAAUACUGUCCAGGAAAGGAGAUAUUGCAAACAUUUCCUGUUUGUCCAGCAACAUGUCAAACAGUUUGUUGUUAAUAAUCUCUGCUCAGCAGCUGACCUUGACCUGUGGGUACCUGGAUGAUGUCAUAAUGAUAAUAAAGGGACAAACUGGUGGAAACUGUAAACAAACCUUCUGGAUGAAGUUCUCCACUUUAUUUUGCAGGCCCCACCACUUGAAUUUGACAGUGACCAGUUUGUAGGCACACAUGUGUGGGCAGUCUGUCCUGUUAGGAAGUUCCUUCUUGUCUCAACACAACAAGAAGAUGCUGUACCUUCCAGUCUGGGCCUAGAGGGCCUCGUCCUGUCUUCAUUGACUUGAACUUGCAAGGAUCCUCCUCUGGCUUGUAGUCCUGGAGAAACAGAAGAAAAACCAGAAUGAACGACAUGAAUAACGCAGCACAAGAGGUCUGGAGAAUGUCAGCACCUCCUAGAGGGUAAAAGCUAACUGCGCAUGUGGCCAACAGUGGUUCUACUGGACCUACAAUAUUGUCAGAAUAACUGACCUGUGUUGAGGUCUCCAUCACUGAGUGACUCCAGGACGCUGUUCAUGGCCCCCAUGUAGAACAGGAGACGAAGCUGAGUGACGGACAUGGUAACAAGACUGAGCAGGAAGAUUGGGCUGAUGAUACUUUUCAAGAAUGAUUGGGCUGCAGAGGAGAAAAAGAGGUCCAUGGUGGAGAGGCAGAGCUUGUGGCCGUCCUUAGUGGCCAGCUCCUUCUGCUUCAGGCUGUUGCCCACACUGAGACGGCGGCCUACGGUGGUCACUUGGCGGUAGAACUGCUUGCCUGUAAUUUUGUGGUCGAAGCCCAGCCAGCUGAAUUUGAUCUUCACACUGAGAGAGCAGAGGAGCAAAGAAGGAUGAGAAGCGAGCUGGGAGAUCAAACACAGGAAACAGGAGUGGGUGGCGAAAACACCCAAAUACAAAGGCAUUCACAAGCUGUUCUGUUUUCAAGAGACUGAACAACAACAAACACAUUCACUUACAUAAGACUGAGGAAGCGGAGGAAGAGUGCCUGCCUCCUGCUAUCCAAAGCUGAGCUCGGUUGUCCACAGGAACACAGAGUGCAGUAUCAGCCAACCGUUCAUCCUCAGGGCCCCAUCCAGAGGGACAAGGGGUCUCAUCUCCACUCCGUCUCCCAGACCUACUACAGCACCCUCACUUUC